RNAcentral lists this ribosomal RNA (442 nucleotides) under uncultured bacterium. RNAcentral describes it as "partial 16S ribosomal RNA". It matches the Rfam family "Bacterial small subunit ribosomal RNA", at positions 338 to 795 of the family's 1533-position model. The record is from RNAcentral.
CCUACGGGAGGCAGCAGUGGGGAAUAUUGGGCAAUGGGCGCAAGCCUGACCCAGCAACGCCGCGUGAAGGAAGAAGGCUUUCGGGUUGUAAACUUCUUUUAAGAGGGAAGAGCAGAAGACGGUACCUCUUGAAUAAGCCACGGCUAACUACGUGCCAGCAUCCGCGGUAAUACGUAGGUUGCAAGCGUUGUCCGGAUUUACUGGGUGUAAAGGGCGUGCAGCCGGGAAGACAAGUCAGAUGUGAAAGCCCGCGGCUCAACCGCGGAACUGCAUUUGAAACUGUUUUUCUUGAGUACCGGAGAGGUCAUCGGAAUUCCUUGUGUAGCGGUGAAAUGCGUAGAUAUAAGGAAGAACACCGGGGGCGAAGGCGGAUGACUGGACGGCAACUGACGGUGAGGCGCGAAAGCGUGGGGAGCAAACAGGAUUAGAUACCCCGGUAGUC